RNAcentral lists this ribosomal RNA (253 nucleotides) under uncultured bacterium. Its description in RNAcentral is "partial 16S ribosomal RNA". It matches the Rfam family "Bacterial small subunit ribosomal RNA", at positions 524 to 776 of the family's 1533-position model. The record is from RNAcentral.
UACGUAGGGUGCGAGCGUUAAUCGGAAUUACUGGGCGUAAAGCGCGCGCAGGCGGUUUUGUAAGCCAGAUGUGAAAUCCCCGGGCUUAACCUGGGAAUGGCAUUUGGGACUGCAAGGCUCGAGUGCGGCAGAGGAGACUGGAAUUCCUGGUGUAGCAGUGAAAUGCGUAGAUAUCAGGAGGAACACCGAUGGCGAAGGCAGGUCUCUGGGCUGACACUGACGCUCAUGCACGAAAGCGUGGGGAGCAAACAGG